Molecule: ribosomal RNA, 253 nt
Filed under: uncultured bacterium
Lineage: Bacteria
Description: partial 16S ribosomal RNA
Rfam family: Bacterial small subunit ribosomal RNA
Source: RNAcentral
UACGAACCGUACGAACGUUAUUCGGAAUCACUGGGCUUAAAGGGUGCGUAGGCGGCGCUGAAAGUUGGGUGUGAAAUCCCUCGGCUCAACCGAGGAACUGCAUUCAAAACUACAGUGCUUGAGGGAGAUAGAGGUGAGCGGAACUUAGGGUGGAGCGGUGAAAUGCGUUGAUAUCCUAAGGAACACCCGUGGCGAAAGCGGCUCACUGGGUCUCUUCUGACGCUGAGGCACGAAAGCUAGGGGAGCGAACGGG